UACGUAGGGUGCGAGCGUUGUCCGGAAUUACUGGGCGUAAAGAGCUCGUAGGUGGUUUGUCGCGUUGUUCGUGAAAACUCACAGCUCAACUGUGGGCGUGCGGGCGAUACGGGCAGACUGGAGUACUGCAGGGGAGACUGGAAUUCCUGGUGUAGCGGUGGAAUGCGCAGAUAUCAGGAGGAACACCGAUGGCGAAGGCAGCUCACUGGGACGGUACUGACGCUGAGACGCGAAAGCGUGGGGAGCAAACAGG
RNAcentral lists this ribosomal RNA (253 nucleotides) under uncultured bacterium. RNAcentral describes it as "partial 16S ribosomal RNA". It matches the Rfam family "Bacterial small subunit ribosomal RNA", at positions 524 to 776 of the family's 1533-position model. The record is from RNAcentral.